UAUCCACUUCCAUAGCUCUUAGUUAAAUGGUGGAUCUCUCUUUUCUUUUCUUUUUUCCCUUCUAAUAGCUUUGCUAGGUGUGAAAUGAGAAAUUAGAACUGAAAUUGUUACUCCUGCCUCUUGGAUAAGAGAUUAUGUGUAUGCUCAUUAUACACUUUCCCCCUAAUCUUGUAUUGUUGCGUUGUAUUGUAUUGCUCCUCUUCUUUUGACUUGUUUCAAUUCAACCUUAAGAAAACAAACUACAAUAGGCAAUGGCCUCAGUAACCAUGACUGCAUCAUCUCUUGGUGGCGCAACCCUCUCCAGCUGUUCUCCUAUCACGGCACGUCCGUUUGUUGGCCAAGGCUGCAGGAGCAGCUGAAGAGCAAAAGGUGAAGAUAAACUGUGACACCAAGAAAGAGGACAAGAAUGGGAGUUGCUCUGCUGCUGGGAUUGCAUUGGCUGAUGGGCCAAAACCGGGUACACCACCACCACACCACAACCCCACCACCCCCCCGCGCGGCCGAGAAGCUAGGAAAGCAUUUGCUUCAGUUUGUGUUAUCAUGCCUGCAGCUAAGAUCUGUCGCAGAUGAAGCUCUAUAAUUUGUUGUGUUUUAUGCUGAAUUAGUUUGAGCCAAAUGUAAUGGUGCCCUAUUUAUGUGCUGGUCAUCUUCUCUUGGGGAGAAACUUAGUUUGCUCUAAUGCUUCUGUGAGAUGUUAAUCUGAGCAUUCUAGAUGUCUUUGAUGAUUUUUGUAAGCAAGAACAUGCUCUAUGAAGUUAAUCAAAAAGCAAUUAUGGGCCACCAAAUGGAGCUAACACUACCCCUUUCAAUUCUCAGAAUCACCACCUCUGCUUUAAUCGAAUACCUCCUCUUAUUAAGAUGAAACAUACCAUUUCAGAGUUGGAAGAUUUUCUAACUCCCAAAUUCGAAUUUCCCAUCCACAUUAGUCAAAUAAAGUAUAACAAGUGCUAAUUCUAAGGCAUGACCCAAUUAGAGAAUAGAUUGUCAACAUUAUUGCACGAAAAUCAAAAGAUAAAGUUUAGGGAUAAAAGAAAGGUAAUUUGUGCAACCCGGAUAGGUGAGUUAAACUAGUUAAUCAAUGCAUUGCGUCAGUCCUUUUGCACCUGAGUUUGAUUCAUAUUUCUGUGAUGUAGUAGUUUAGAAUAUCAUUUUGUCAAAACCCAAAAAAAAAAAAAAGGCAAUUUGUCCAACCCCACUUCCCUAUAUAUCAAAAAAUAUUUGUUUUUAAAUGAGAUCGGAAAUUCCCAUUCAUGUUCCCGCACCAUAUUUCCUGUUUAUAUUUGUAGAUUAAAAAAAUAAUAAUAAUAAAAAGUUAUAUGCACAUAUAUUUUUCUAAUUAAUUCACAAUUUUAAAUUUAAAUUAGUGUCUAUAUUGACAACUCCCUUUCGUAAAUUCUCCAAACAUGUGAUGUUUCCCUUUUUUUCCCGGGCAACCCGAACCGUACCAAAACUCUAACGGCCGAAUUUGAGCAGCCUAAAACCCUAAACCCUAAGCCCCUGAUCGAACCUCCAAAAUAAAAAAAGAAAGGAAAAAAAACGAAACUUUUUUUUUUUUGAAAACCCAAAAGAGGGCAAGCAGAGUCCUCGCCUACGUGCGGGGGAUACCCUGGAUUCAUCCAAAAGAAAAGAAAACACCGAAAAUUACAAUUACACAGCAAAAGAAGAGGAAGAGAAAGCUCUUUCCCGUUGUAAUCAAUCUUCACAGAGCACACAAAGCAGAGAUUCUUAGCUGCUUCGUAAAACCCGAUUCCAGGUACGACAUUUUUCCUAAAAACCCUAAUCUAGUCAUCCAUCCCCAAUCCCUAACCCUGAAAUCUCUUUUGUUUCAAUUUCUCAACCUUUGAUUUCAAAUCCAGGUUUUGAAAAGGGAGAGAACUCUGUUAACUCGACUGGUGUGGUCUCUUCAACCAACCCUUCACCAGGCCUGCGUCGUUGCUUCCUCCGCCAUCGCCUUUAGCGUUCCUGUAAGAUCACUGACAUGGAAGCCGAAGCUGAGAAGAGCUUAGUUAAGAGAAAUUUUCUCAGAGACAAUGAAGUAAAGAUUCAAAUGUUGUGGAAAGAGCAUGAUGUUUACAGGGCUGAAUCUUGUGAAAAGCCUCCUGAACCAGGGGAGAAGUUCUUUGGAAACUUCCCAUUCCCUUACAUGAAUGGUUCUUUGCAUCAUGCACAUGCAUUCUCACUCUCAAAGCUAGAGUUUUCUGCACGUUAUCAUAGGUUAAGAGGCGCCGAUGUUCUCUUGCCUUUUGCUUUUCACGGCACUGGCAUGCCCAUCAAAGCCUCAGCUGAUAAGCUUGCACGAGAGAUCAAACAGUUUGGGAACCCACCAGUGUUUCCCCAAAGUGACAAAGAGGAGCAAGGGAACCAGCAGGAAGCAGAAGAUGAAAAAGCAGGUGCACCUCCAGAUAAUAAGUUAAAGGGAAAGAAGUCCCAGGCUGCAUCAAAAUAAAGUGGACAAGCAUACCAAUGGCAAAUUAUGCGUAGUCUUGGCCUCUCUGACAGUGAGAUACCUGAAUUCCAAGAACCGUCUAAGUGGUUGAACUAUUUCCCUCCAUUGGCAGUGGAAUACCUAAAGGCUUUUGGCUUGGGAUGUGACUGGAGCCGCUCCUUUGUUACUACAGACUUGAAUCCAUAUUUUGAUAAGUUUGUGAGGUGGCAGAUGUGGAAAUUGAAAGAAAUAGGUAAGAUUGUGAAAGAUAAACGUUACACAAUCUACUCUCCAUUGGAUGGAAAGCCAUGUGCAGAUCAUGAUAGGGCAACUGGUGAAGGAGUUCAGCCCCAAGAAUACACAAUCAUCAAAAUGGAGGUAGUGGCACCUUUUCCUGCUAAGUUGGGAGUAUUGGAAGGGAGGAAAGUUUUCCUUGCUGCAGCAACUUUGAGACCAGAAACCAUGUGUGGACAAACAAAUGCAUGGGUUUUGCCCAAUGGAAAGUAUGGAGCCUUUGAAAUCAACGACACUGAUGUAUUUGUUCUUACUCAGAGAGCAGCACUUAACCUCGCCUAUCAGGAGUAUUCUAGAGUCCCUGAGAAGCCUACUUGCUUGGUUGAUCUCACUGGUUAUGAUUUGAUUGGUCUUCCAUUGAAAUCGCCACUUGCACUCAAUCAGAUCAUUUACGCCCUUCCAAUGUUGACAAUCCUAACAGACAAAGGUACUGGGAUUGUGACCAGUGUCCCUUCUGAUGCUCCUGAUGAUUUUAUGGCCUUGCAUGAUUUAAAAUUGAAGCCAGCUUUCAGGUCAAAAUAUGGUGUGAGGGAUGAAUGGGUCAUGCCUUUUGAUAUUAUCCCAAUCAUUGACAUUCCCUAAUUUGGAGAUAAGGCUGCAGAAAAGGUGUGUGUAGAUCUCAAAAUCAAAAGCCAGAAUGACAGAGAGAAGCUAGCAGAAGCCAAGAGGUUGACCUACUUGAAAGGAUUUACAGAAGGAACAAUGCUUGUGGGAGAAUUCAACGGAAGGAAAGUUCAGGAGGCGAAAGCACUGUUAAGGAGCAAGCUGAUAGAGGCAGGUGAUGCAAUUAUGUAUAGUGAACCUGAGAAGCGUGUAGUGCCAAGGUCGGGUGAUGAAUGUCUUGUGGCAUGUACCGAGCCAUGGUACAUCACAUAUGGCGAAGCAGAAUGGAAAAAACAGGCUCAGGAGUACUUAUCCAGCAUGAACUUUUAUUCUGACAUGACACGGCAUGGAUUUGAACAUACAUUGACUUGGUUGAAUCAGUGGGCUUGCUCACGAUCAUUUGGGCUUGGGACGCGCAUUCCCUGGGAUGAAAAGUACUUUGUCGAAUCGUUGUCUGAUUCCACCAUUUACAUGGCUUAUUACACCAUUGCUCACUUGUUGCACAAUGAAGACAUGUAUGGGGGUUCCAGCACAUCUGGGGUUACACCUGAGCAAAUGACCAAUGAAGUUUGGGAUUUUAUUUUCUGUGAUGGCCCAUUUCCAAAAUCAUCUGAGGUGUCACAAUUAAUUCUGAAUAAGAUGAAGCAGGAGUUUGAGUACUGGUAUCCUUUUGAUCUUCGAGUGUCUGGUAAGGAUCUAAUCCAGAAUCAUUUAACCUUUUGCAUUUACAACGACACAGCAAUUAUGUCCAAGAAGCACUGGCCUCGUGGAUUUAGAUGCAAUGGGCACCUCAUGCUUGAUUCAAUGAAGAUGUCCAAGUCCACAGGGAACUUUAUGACAUUGCGUGAGGCAAUUGCAGAAUAUUCUGCUGAUGCCACACGGUUCUCUUUGGCUGAUGCUGGUGAUGGUGUUGAUGAUGCAAAUUUUGUUUCUAGUACUGCAAAUAAGGCCAUCCUAGAUCUCAGUAAAGAGAUCUCAUGGAUGGAAGAACAAUUGGGUGCAGACACGUUGAGAAUAGGUCCCCCUUCUACUUUUGCUGACAGGGUCUUUGCGAAUGAGAUGAAUAUUGCUGUGAAGAUGACUGAGCAGAAUUACCAGGCUUGCAAGUUCCGAGAGGCCCUUAUUACUGGCUUUGUUGGUCUUCAAGCUGCCAGGAAGUGGCACCGGAUUUCAUGUGGCUCUCAAGAAAUGAACCGUGAUUUGGUGUGGCGCUUUAUGGAUGUACAGACACGUUUAAUUGCUCCAAUCUGUCCACAUUAUACAGAAUAUGUCUGGAGGGAGCUUUUGAAGAAGGAUGGGUUUGUGGUAAAUGCAGGCUGGCCUGCAGCUGAUGCUCCAGACUUAACCCUCCGGAGUGCCAAAAAGUAUGUGGAAGACUUGAUUGGUUCAAUGAUGAAGCUGUACAACAAGCAAAAGGCAAAUUUGACCAAUAAGAAGGUGAUAGGCUUGAUAUGUGUUAAGGAACAAUUUGAUGAAUGGAAGAUAGAGUGCUUGAGGAUACUCCAGAAUAACUUCAACAGAGAGACUCGUUUUGCUGCAGACAGUGUCAUAUUGGAGGCAUUGCAAAGUAGUUCUGUCAAUCAGGGUAAAGAUUUUAGACAAACCCAAAAGCUUUGUAUGCCUUUCUUGAAGUCAAAGAAGAAGGAUGCAGUUGAACUUGGGGCUCAGGCCUUAGACUUAAAGCUACCAUUUGGAGAGAUUGAGGUCCUUCAACAGAACUUGGACUUGGUUAAGAGACAAGUCAAACUUGAAGAGGUGGAAGUUUUGUCUGCUACCAACCCAGAUGAUCGUGCUAAAGCGGGCUCUCAUGUUAAACAGAUAGAGCAAAAUCCUCCAUCCCCUGGAAGUCCAACGACCAUCUUCUUGACCUGUUCAUUAGCUAUAAUCUUUUUGGUUGAUAUCUACAAUUUACUUACAGAACUCUCUUUGUCAGAUUAGUUUGCUCACCUAACUUGUGUGGGUUUUUCUUUUAUUUAUUAUUUAUUUUUAUUAAAGUUCAAGCGUGGAUUGCUUCUGUUUUCAACAAUUUCAGACAAAUGAAGAAACUAGAUCAACUUUUUGAGUUCCAAA
Prunus persica (peach) is the source of this 5392-nucleotide RNA transcript. It is a transcript of the gene named leucine--tRNA ligase, cytoplasmic, with no coding region annotated. The transcript has 2 exons. The record is from RefSeq and is a predicted model, not a curated record. NCBI's taxonomy places the organism in Eukaryota, Viridiplantae, Streptophyta, Magnoliopsida, Rosales, Rosaceae.